UAAGGAAUAUUGGUCAAUGGACGCAAGUCUGAACCAGCCAUGCCGCGUGGAGGAUGAAGGUCCUCUGGAUUGUAAACUUCUUUUAUCUGGGAAGAAAUCCAUUUUUUCUAGAAUGGUUGACGGUACCAGAUGAAUAAGCACCGGCUAACUCCGUGCCAGCAGCCGCGGUAAUACGGAGGGUGCAAGCGUUAUCCGGAUUCACUGGGUUUAAAGGGUGCGUAGGUGGGCAAGUAAGUCAGUGGUGAAAUCUCCGGGCUUAACCCGGAAACUGCCAUUGAUACUAUUUGUCUUGAAUACUGUGGAGGUCAGCGGAAUAUGUCAUGUAGCGGUGAAAUGCUUAGAUAUGACAUAGAACACCAAUUGCGAAGGCAGCUGGCUACACAAAUAUUGACACUGAGGCACGAAAGCGUGGGGAUCAAACAGGAUUAGAUACCCUGGUAGUCCACGCCCUAAACUAUGGAUACUCGACAUUUGCGAU
RNAcentral lists this ribosomal RNA (478 nucleotides) under uncultured Bacteroidota bacterium. Its description in RNAcentral is "bacterial SSU rRNA". It matches the Rfam family "Bacterial small subunit ribosomal RNA", at positions 355 to 830 of the family's 1533-position model. Lineage: Bacteria; Pseudomonadati; Bacteroidota. The record is from RNAcentral.